This is a non-coding RNA of Punica granatum (pomegranate), 4973 nucleotides long. Lineage: Eukaryota; Viridiplantae; Streptophyta; Magnoliopsida; Myrtales; Lythraceae. The record is from RefSeq and is a predicted model, not a curated record.
UGCAUAUUAUUAUUUUCAGAAAAAGGCAUUUUCUAAUUUAGUUAACUCACAAUUUAAGUUAAAAGAAUGAUAGAUAGAAGAAGAAUUUUACUCAGAGUUAGUUUAUUCUUGUAGAAGAAGCACAAAAGGUUUUAUGAUUCUCUUAAAAAUGAUUAAUUAAUUAUUUCUAUAAGAAGCUCUAUGGAAGUUCUAAUCCUGCAGUGAAUUCAACAAUUGCUCAGCUUUCUAAAAUUCUGAAGUUUAAGUUGUCUGAAUCUCAAAAGCAGAUGCUUGAUGCAGGUAUUACUUGUGAGGAGAUAAAGGGGGUGGUUUUUUCUCUACUAAAGAAUAAAGCUCCAGGCCCAGAUGGGUUUACAGCAGAAUUCUUUCAGGAUACUUGGACUAUCACAGGGAGUUCUCUUAUUGACGCUAUUCAGAAAUUCUUCUCUAUUGGUCGGCUAUUGAGACUGAUUAAUUCAACCAUCAUAACCCAUGUUCCCAAGAGGUUGAAUGCUGAUCAUAUAAAGUUUUUUCGACCCAUAUCUUGUUGCAAUACUUUGUAUAAAUGCAUUGCCAAGAUUAUGGCUAAUAAGAUCAAAAUGGUGCUUCCUUCUCUAAUAAGCAAGAAUCAAAAUGCAUUUAUGAAAGGAAGGAGGAUAUCAGAUAACAUUCUCCUUGCACAUGAGCUUUUUACAGAAUAUCAUAUUAAGGGGAUUAGUUCAAUAUGUGCCAUCAAGAUAGAUCUGAUGAAGGCCUUCGAUUCGUCGAAUUGGUGUUUUAUUGAAAACGCUGUUGGGUUUCCUGUAAAAAAGGUGAAGUGGAUUGUUAGUUGUGUGACUUCCUCAUGGUUUUCUAUUGCAGUUAACGGUUCUCUUGCUGGGUAUUUCAAAGGUGCCAGGGUGGGAAACAAGGUGGUCCAAUGUCACCUCACUCGUUUGCUUUGGCUAUGGAGAUUCUCUCGCAAUUAUUAGAUGAAGUAGCAACGGAGGGUAAAAUAGCAUAUCAUUCCAGAUGUAAAGGUAUCCCGUUAACACUUCUCUGUAUUGCCGAUGACUUAAUGAUUUUUCACUUAUGGGCAAAUGAGCACUGUUCAAGUUGUGAUGGAGGUUCCAAAUAAAUUCUACAGGUUAUCUGGUCUGAGACUUAAUGCAGAAUAAGCAUAAAUAUUUGUUGUUGGUUGCUCUGAGGAGCAUAUUCAUAAUAUCCUAGAGUUUACUGGUUUUCAACUUGGCCAACUUCCAGUUCGAUACUUGGGUCUUCCUCUCAUAUCUGGCAGCCUUUCAGCUAAGGACUGUUCAGACCUUACUGAGAGGAUUACUGCUAUAAUUAAUUGCUGAACAACUCGAUAUCUGUCAUACACAGGGGGGUUGCAGCUAAUAGAUUCUGUUUUUUCAGCUUGGCAAGUUUUCGGUGUUCUGUCUUUAUCUUACCCAAGAGAGUGAUGAAAAUGGUGCGGCAACAAUGUAGUGUUUUCCUUUGGAAAGGUGUUAAAGGUACUACGAAGGGAGCGAAGGUGAAAUGGGAGGAUGUUUGCAUUCCUAAAAGUGAAGGUGGACUCUGUAAUACGGAGCUCGAACAGUGGAAUAAGGUUUGUGUGAUGAGGAAUCUUUGGCAAGUCUUAACUAAUGCGGUUUCUUUAUGGGUUGCAUGGAUUAAGUGCUAUAUGCUUAAAAGGUAGGAACAUAUGGACUGUUAAGCCUCAAAGCAAUAGCUCAUGGUGCUGGCGCAAACUACUAAAAACUGAGAGUCAUUGCUCAACCAAAGGAGAGUUACAAAGUAGAAGAUGGAAGUGGCAUUUCCUUUUGGUAUGACAGAUGGUGUGCAGGGGGGACCUUUGAUUGAACUGCGCACAAAUGGGCUUCAUUCUUCCCAACUAUCACUGCAAACCAAAUACUGAGUUAUGCGUUGAAAGAAGGUGCUUGGAUAUGGCCACGAAGUAGAGAUGUGCAAGCAGUAAAUAUCCACAGUGGUACUGAAACUUUUGUUCGUUUUUGCAGCACGCACACACUAGUAAUCUCUAGGAUUAUCUAGCAUCUAUAUCAUCCUCUAGAUCUCUUAACAAGAAAAUAACACACACUAUAUAUAGACUUUCUAUGGAGGUGAAAUGAUAAGGUAUUAGUUGUCUCAUGCAUGUUGACAACUAGCAUAACCAAUAAUUUGGGUUUGUCUUCAUUCAUCUAAGAUGACAACUAACAAUCUUGAGUAUUCAAAUUGGAUUUGUCAUCUUCUCCAUUAGGAUGCCAACUUGGUCCACUUGGAUAACAACUUGCACUUUAGAGUUCAAAUUGAUCUUCUCUUCUUAAUGGAGGUGCAAGGCGUCUAUUUUAAGUUGUCUUAACCAUGAAGUAAUUAUAUCCUAAUUGCAAAUUCCUUUUUAACACCCCCUUUUAAUUUGCAAAACCUGCAAUCUUUCGAAAUUGCUCAAGCUUUUCCGCUAUGACUUCCUUUGUGAAUAUAUCUGCAAGUUGGUCUUUGGUGCUAAUAAACUCGAGUUGGAUUUUGCCUUGUUGUACUUGAUUUCUUAUAAAGUAAUGUCGCAACGCGAUAUGCUUGGUCCUACCAUGAAAUAUUGGAUUUUUGGUCAUAGCUACUAUGGACAUGUUAUCACAAUAGACAAUUGUUGGAUUUUCUUGCAUCUGCAGUAAAUCUCAUAGAACUUUUCGUAACCAAAUUGCUUCACAUGUUUCAUAUGUUGUUGUGAUACACUCUGCCUCUGCAGAAGUAAGUGACACGGUCUUUUUCUUUUUCGAAGACCAUGAAAUUACUUUUGAUCCAAUGCAGAGAAUAUAUCCUGAUUUUUUUUUUCCGAUCAUCAAUUGAACGUGCCCAAUCACUGUCUGUAUAGCUUACGAGCUUGUUCUUCUUUUCCUUCAUAUAGUGAAUACCAAAUCUCUUCGUUCCUUGUAAGUGGCAGAGAAUCCACUUUGCUACUGAAUAGUGUUACCUUGCUUUGUUCUUGCAUAAAUCUUGAAAUCAGGCUGAUAGGAUACGUAAUAUCUGGCCUUGUAUUUGUUAGAUAAAGCAAUGAACCCAAUAAAUUUCGAUAAUUUGAGGCAUCAGAUUUUGGAGUGCCAUCAUUCAGAUACAAUUUGUCAUUCGCUGCAAGUGGAGUUGCAAUUGGUUUGCAGUUGUUCAUCUGAAAUCUUUUCAACAAAUCUUCUACUUAUUUCUCUUGGGAGAUAAGUAUCUCACUUUUGGAUUGUUGAACUUGAAUUCCAAGAAAAGACUUCAUGAGGCCUAAAUCUGUCAUCUCGUACUCGUUCAUCAUUGCUUUCUUGAAUUAUUGCACCAUCACAGGAUUGGUUCCUGUGUAUAUCAGAUCAUCAACGUAAAGACAAACAAUAAGAAAAUUUUUGUUAGCUACUUUCUCUAUGUAAAGUGAUGGUUCACUUUGACUUCGAGUAAAACCAUUCUUCUGAAAAUAUGCAUCGGUUUUGCUAUUCCAUGCUUGCGGUGCUUGCUUUUAGCCCAUAGAAAGCUUUCCGAAGGCUGUAAACUUUAUCUUCUUUGUCCUUGAUAACAUAUCCUUCAAGUUGUUCCACAUAGACUUCAUCUUCGAGUUCACCAUUAAGGAAUGCUAAUUUGACAUCAAGUUGAUAAAUCUGCAAUUAUAGUUGAGCAGAUAGGGGAAGGACAAGUCUGAUUGUCUCCAUGAGAGCAACUGGCGCAAAAGUUUCAUUGAAGUCAAUCCUCGUUGUUGAGAAUACCCUUUGGCUACUAAUUGGGCCUUUUGCCUCUGAAUUGAGCCAUCUUCCUUGUAUUCGGUCUUAUAAACUCAUUUUAGACCAAUAACAUCAUUUUAAUCGAGAAGAUCCACGGCUCCCAUGUGUGAUUCUUCUCUAUAAUUACAAUUACUUCAUCCAUAUCUUUUGUCCAAACUUCUUCUUUGACUGCGCCCUUGAAACUUUGGGCCUCACAAGCAUAAAAUGUUAAAUCGCAUGUUCCAUAUAGUUCACUUACUUGGCGAAAUUUUCUUGUAGGAGAUUCAGAGUUUGUUGAUUGCAAGUUUGAACUCGACGAUGACGAACUUGAGAUCAAACUUCUUUUGCUUGUGCUUGUGCUCAUGGUCGUGCUUGGCUUGCUCCAAGUUUUGCGUUGAGAAUUCGCUAAUUCUCCUCGUCUGCUUCAAGAGAACUCAUCAACUCAUCCAUGGAGAAUGUUGACAAAUCCUUUGAUACUUCGAUUGCAGCAACUAUGUGCUUGAAUCUAGCUAGCAAGCUCCUUCAAACUUUUUGUACUAUUUUCUUAUCCUCAAUGGUAUCUCCUUAGCGUCUAAUUUGAAUGACGAUAACAAAAACUCUCGAAGAGAAUUCCUGCACAUCUUCACUUUGCUUCAUGGCUAAGUUAUCUAACUCUCCCCAUAAAUUCUACAGUUUGAUGGAGAACACCACAUCAUAGCCUCCAAAUUGUUUUUUCAUAAUUUCCCAUGCUGUUGUUGAUGUAGUUACACCCAUGAGUUUAGGAAGAAUAGAUUUGCUUACCCCCUGGUGGAUGAAAGACAAUGCUUUUGCAUCUUUCAUUCGAUUUUCUGUGUGUUUGCUUUUGUUGCUAUGUAGACAGAGCUGCUAUUUCCUCCAAAUGCACUCACAGUUUCAUAGGAAUUCUCCACAAUAAUCUAAAAGGUCUUGGGAGCUGAAUAAUGUCUUCAUGAGGAUGCUCCAUAUCGCGUACUUCUCUCCAACGAAGAUUAGGAUACCUUGCUGAGAGUAGUUGAAAGCCAUGUGGUUGCUUGUCGAGGCCAUGGUGAUGGAAGCUGUUGGAGCUUUUGAAGGGGGAACCUAGCGCUGGUACCAAGAUGUUGGAGAUUGAGUGCUUUGAUGCUAGUAGGUGGUGGGUUUAUUGAAUUGAUGGAGGCAAUUGGGAAAUAUUUGGAGGAAAGAAUUAAGUAUAAUUGUAUUCUUUCAUAAGAACAUCCACAUGUAUGCAUUUACUGCUAGAAAACCGAGCACGUGCGCAGCGGAAAAGUUAAUUACGGUAAAAAUCAAAUUUUUAUC